Neofelis nebulosa (Clouded leopard) is the source of this 1545-nucleotide long non-coding RNA. RefSeq lists it as uncharacterized. The transcript has 2 exons. The record is from RefSeq and is a predicted model, not a curated record. NCBI's taxonomy places the organism in Eukaryota, Metazoa, Chordata, Mammalia, Carnivora, Felidae.
GGACUGAUCUGACUCCGUAGAAGGUCCAUAAAACAAAGAAUGAGCUGUAGAAUCCAAGUGGAAUUCUGAACCAGAAGUUCUAAGAUGAUUUUGACCAUGGCGUCAGCAGCGGCCUGAGUGCUCAGCUUCCCAGCCAGGCCGCCAUCAGGAAACGCUCAGCACACACGUCAAAUGUUGGCUCUGUUGAGGCUGCUCAGUACCUGGUGCUGGCCCCAGGGCUGGAGGCCAAGCCCUGCACCUCAACCAGAAUGAGGAAGAAAACGUGCGCCAGCCCCCCGUUUUACGCAGCUGCUGGUGCAGCAAGUGCCAACGUGACGGUCGUCAGAAGUGAAGGGGCAGCUGAAGUGGAGUAUUACUUGACCGUAACAAGGAAGGGAGCACUGACGCCUGCACGACACGGAUGAACCUGGAGGACGCGAGACCGAGUCUAAGAAGCCAGUCUCAAAAGGCCACGUGCUAUACGACGCCAUUUAUGUGAAACGCCCAGAACAGGGAAACCUGUAGACAAAGCAGAUCAGCGGUGGCCGGAGGCUGGGGGAAUGGGGCGAUGAUACCCUUCACCGUCAACGUUCUGAAACUCACCGGAGCGAUGCUGGCACCACCCACGAGUACACCAAAACCACUUUAUUGUGUACUUGCCCCAGGUGACUUGUGUGAGUGGGAACCACAUCUCAGUGAAGGCAUUUUUUACAAGUGAAGGGACCCCAGGAAUUCAGAAAACAGAGCCCCGCUGGGUUUCCUCCAGCCUGAGACGACCGUCUGGGUGUCCCCAGCCGGGUCUCGGGUUCAGGAGGGAGAGCUCCAGGCCGUGCACUCGGCAAGAGUCAUUCUGUGCUGAGGAACCCCGACCCGCCUACCGGCCCAGGCUCAGCUUCUGGCGUGUGAUUUCCAGUGGCGAUCCGGACAGACGGGUACAACGUUGCCUGCAGAUGCGCUAUGCCUGUAUUGACACAGAACCGCCAACAUUAAAGCCACAGCUCACUGCCCACGGUGCCACAUCCUGGUGGACCGAUAGAAUGUGAGCUUGCAGGGCAGAGUUAGGAAUUAGGUAGACCGCCAUCUUCCAGACUGGGGAGACAAACCUGUUGCUCAUAGAGACAGGUGCUCCCGGGAACCAUGGGUUCUCAUCACCCCAUGUCACGUUUAGGAGAAAGGUGAAGACACCUCUCAGUUUCAUCAGCGAGUCCUGGAAGGGAAGAUCCAUGGAGCAUGAUUCAGCUGCGGAGACAAGGAGCCAGUCUCAUGAAGAAACAAAAAGAAGGUUCUGGAACUGUCAGGUGGUCAAGGCCUGCCCGGACCUGAACUGCUUCCCUCAAAGCAGGGUCUCUGUCAGCACUGCUCACGUCCACUCUCUCCCUGCUUGACCCCAUCCAGCCCCAGGUCCCAUCGGCCCAUGCCCUACACCUAUCGCCAUCAGACCCGCGUCCACACCUAUCUCAUCUCUGCUUCCAGAACACCCCAAACUAAGGCAGCUUUGUAACAGAGCAGUCCGCAAGUGCUUUCUGUAAAAGGUCGGUGUAAACAUGUCAGGCACUGUGGGCCAGU